UAACACGUACGCAACCUUCCCGUUACUGGGGAAUAGCCCAGGGAAACUUGGAUUAAUACCCCAUAUUAUAUGGAUCAGGCAUCUGGUUCAUAUCAAAGAUUCAUCGGUAACGGAUGGGCGUGCGGUUGAUUAGGUAGUUGGCGGGGUAACGGCCCACCAAGCCUACGAUCAAUAGCUGAUGUGAGAGCAUGAUCAGCCACACGGGCACUGAGACACGGGCCCGACUCCUACGGGAGGCAGCAGUAAGGAAUAUUGGGCAAUGGACGGAAGUCUGACCCAGCCAUGCCGCGUGGAGGAUGAAGGUCCUCUGGAUUGUAAACUUCUUUUCUCUGGGGCGAAAAAAGCCCUUUCUAGGGCACUUGACAGUACCAGAGGAAUAAGCACCGGCUAACUCCGUGCCAGCAGCUGCGGUAAUACGGAGGGUGCAAGCGUUAUCCGGAUUCACUGGGUUUAAAGGGUGCGUAGGUGGGCUUGUAAGUCAGUGGUGAAAUCCCCGAGCUUAACUUGGGAACUGCCGUUGAUACUAUAAGUCUUGAAUAUCGUGGAGGUAAGCGGAAUAUGUCAUGUAGCGGUGAAAUGCUUAGAUAUGACAUAGAACACCAAUUGCGAAGGCAGCUUGCUACACGACAAUUGACACUGAGGCACGAAAGCGUGGGGAUCAAACAGGAUUAGAUACCCUGGUAGUCCACGCCCUAAACUAUGGAUACUCGACAUCAGCGAUACACUGUUGGUGUCUG
This 737-nucleotide ribosomal RNA is filed under the name uncultured Bacteroidota bacterium. RNAcentral's name for it is "bacterial SSU rRNA". It matches the Rfam family "Bacterial small subunit ribosomal RNA", at positions 111 to 849 of the family's 1533-position model. Lineage: Bacteria; Pseudomonadati; Bacteroidota. The record is from RNAcentral.